AGGAUGCUGAAUAUACCGGUUCUCGUUAGAUUACUGAAGUCAAGCAUCAUUGGGCUCGGUCAGUACUUGGGUGGGUGACCACCUGAGAACACCGCGUGCC
Molecule: ribosomal RNA, 100 nt
Filed under: Caerostris extrusa
Lineage: Eukaryota; Metazoa; Arthropoda; Arachnida; Araneae; Araneidae
Source: RNAcentral